RNAcentral lists this ribosomal RNA (227 nucleotides) under uncultured bacterium. RNAcentral describes it as "partial 16S ribosomal RNA". It matches the Rfam family "Bacterial small subunit ribosomal RNA", at positions 118 to 348 of the family's 1533-position model. The record is from RNAcentral.
UGAGCAAUCUGCCCUUCUCAUCGGAAUAAGCGUUGGAAACGACGUCUAAUGCCGAAUACGACCUCCUUUCGCAUGAUCGGAGGUGGAAAGCUCAGGCGGUCAAGGAUGGGCUCGCGGCCUAUCAGCUUGUUGGUGAGGUAAUGGCUCACCAAGGCGACGACGGGUAGCCGGCCUGAGAGGGUGACCGGCCACACUGGGACUGAGACACGGCCCAGACUCCUAGGAGG